This is a long non-coding RNA of Folsomia candida, 901 nucleotides long. RefSeq lists it as uncharacterized. The transcript has 3 exons. Lineage: Eukaryota; Metazoa; Arthropoda; Collembola; Entomobryomorpha; Isotomidae. The record is from RefSeq and is a predicted model, not a curated record.
UCUUAAACUUAAAGUUGCAUACCAAACCAAACCAUACGCUCACACUGUAUAUUAUGUUGUGGCAUAAACUUUAGAAGAAAUUUCUACACAUUUUGCGUUGGGUACAAUGCUUCCAAAACUUUCCCAUCUGGUCCAUAUCCAUAGCAAGAGAAUUAAACCGUUUCAGCUUUAAAUUAAUUAUAAUUAAUUCGUUUCGGAGAAUUAACUUUUUCAAGAAAGAAAUAUAAAAUGGACCCCAUCCCCACAAUUUCGAUUGUCUAUUCCGUUUUCUUCGUAUUCUUUGGGAUUUGGAGUUUUAUCGAGAUGGGAAAAGAUAAGAGAGCGGCGAGGAUACCGGAUUCAGAGAUUUCCUGGCUUCUGCAUCCAAACGGAAUAAGAACUUCGGAGUGCAAAUUGCACACUUUGGAACUUCUCGGAGGAUGGUUUGGAUCCCUCAUGGGGCAAAUUUGUUUUAACCAUAAGAUCAAGAAAUGUUCUUAUCAGGUUAAGUUCUGGAUUAUCGUGAUUGCUCAUGUGGCCGGGAUUUGGUGUGUGGUUGCGAAGAGGGAGGAAAUUCGGAAUCAUUUUAAUUAUUAAAUAUAAAAGGGUUAAAUUGUUUUUUUUUUUAAUUUUUAGUUUGAACCUAAACACUCAACUGUAAUAAAUUAUUGCGUAAUAAUUACUCAAUAAUUAUUUCGGAAGGCGUAGACCUAGUGUGUAAUUUUACACAAUUUAUGAAUUUCGGCACCUGGAUCUAAAGUGUUCUGAUAAUCAAACGCAAUUCUGAACUUUUAGUAGCAUGAAAUACGUAAUAUUAUCUUGUAUGUGCACAUAGUGUGAAAAUUCUGCUAUUAAAACAAUCUACGCGUGAUAAAAUUAAUAAAAAAUAAAAUUCGAUUUAAUAAAAAUUAUAUUAACUUGU